UGGGGAAUUUUGCACAAUGGGGGAAACCCUGAUGCAGCGACGCCGCGUGAUUUAGAAGGCCUUCGGGUUGUAAAAAUCUUUUCUAUGGGAAGAAAAUGACAGUACCAUAGGAAUAAGGACCGGCUAAUUACGUGCCAGCAGCCGCGGUAAUACGUAAGGUCCGAGCGUUGUCCGGAAUCAUUGGGCGUAAAGGGUACGUAGGCGGGUAAGCAAGUUAGAAGUGAAAUCCUAUAGCUCAACUAUAGUAAGCUUUUAAAACUGCUCAUCUUGAGGUAUGGAAGGGAAAGUGGAAUUCCUAGUGUAGCGGUGAAAUGCGCAGAUAUUAGGAGGAAUACCGGUGGGGAAGGCGACUUUCUGGCCAUAACCUGACGCUGAGGUACGAAAGCGUGGGUAGCAAACAGG
Molecule: ribosomal RNA, 402 nt
Filed under: bacterium
Lineage: Bacteria
Description: partial 16S ribosomal RNA
Rfam family: Bacterial small subunit ribosomal RNA
Source: RNAcentral